GGCAGGGGAUUCGAGGCAGGAGGGAGAGACUAGAGAGGGAGAGAGGGAGGGAUAGACAGACGCCAUGUUUGCUUUGUGUGGCUCAGGCAGCGGGAUGUGUACCCUGCGAUUUUCUCAGCUUUAACCACGGAACCAGAAAAAGAACAACCAUGGCAAGUGGUUUGUUGUCCCUCAAGUGGAAUAACCACCGAAGUACCUUCUUCCACAUCCUCUCCACCAUCCGGAGCAAGGAAUCCUAUUGUGAUGUGACUAUAGCCUGUGAUGGAAAAUUUUAUCCAGUACACAAACUGGUGUUAUCAACAUGUAGUGAUUAUUUUGAACAGAUGUUUGAAAGGACAAACUGUAAACAUCCAAUUAUAGUGUUAAAAGACAUUAGAAGUCAAGAACUAGAAGCUUUAUUAAACUAUAUGUAUGUUGGUGAAGUUAAUGUGCUUCAAAAUGAAUUAGCUGGCUUAAUAAAAGCAGCAGAAUGCCUUAUGAUCAAAGGCCUAGCAGUACCUGAUGAAGCUCCCUCAAAAGACAGCAAAGAAAAUAAGCGAACUUUUGUCGGGACAGAGGACAGUCCGUUGUCAAAGAGAAGAAAAAGAGAUGAAGAAAUUAGACCGUCUCCCUCUCAGAACCAACAAAUUCACAGAGAGGCGAGAGACACCACAGUGAACAGCCAAUCCCAAAGACAGUCCAGUAGUGCCUCAAUUCCAACUCCCUCCCCGACGGUGCCCAGAGUGCCGCCAAACCCCAUCUCCCCUUCUCCGUCAGCAGGAAGUGCCUCUGAGUCUGUGUCAGAGGACUGUAGUCAAGCUCAUAGUGAGGUGAACGAGCAGCCCAGCCUUCCCAAUGCACAAGAGUCAACGCAUCGGGCAGCCGAGCCGGCAUCUAGUCAAUCGCAGCAGGCAGUACCUGAGGUAAUCUUAGAUGAACCUGGUGUUAAAGAAGAACCGCAAGAAAUAGAGGAAGAAAUAACGGAUACAAAAGAGAUCUUUGAGUCACACGACUUUGAGCAUCCAGCCGAAGGGGACUCUCUGAGUGACAAAGGGCCCGGUGCUGGGGGAGGGCCAACGGCCUUUGAGCCACAGAUGUUGGGCUCACAACCUCAGUCUAUGGAGGACUUGGUAGCACAGGCCAUCCCAGGCUCUUCAGGCUUACAAGGAAACAAUGUUUCCUUGUGGGAAGGAGAAGGAAGCUUUCCUAUGGAAGGUUUUACUGGAGAUGGGUCUCGGCCUCCACAGAUGGGAGUGGACUUGUGUAAUGCAGCCUGUCACAAGCAACAGGAAGGCUUGAUGAGGACCACUUUGCCCAACAUGGUUCUGCCACCGCCUUCAGCUUUUCCUAUUAGGAGACUCGUUACGAAAGUGGCCCAGGAAGGGAGCAGACGGGAGUAUCGGUGUCAAGUUUGUGGAUAUCAGGCCAUCAGUGAAUCAAAGCUCACCAUACAUUUCCGUAAACACACAGGGGAGAAGCCGUUUGUUUGCUCGUUCUGCUCCUACAGGUGUGCUCAUAAGAGCAACCUUAUCACACACAUGAAGACUCGUCAUGCAGACCAAGAGCACCAGUAAUAAUGGAGAAAGCAUUUUAGUGGGAUGUCGUUAAUAUGCUGCAGAAUCUAGAAAGGGAAUGGACUUGUCAAAGCCCUCCAGUAGCAGGCAACAUGAAGGGACAGUGACUCCUGCAUACACCUCAGGUGUCUAUCUGGCUCCCCUUGGGUCCUCUGUUCCGAGGCCAAGACCACAGUCACACGAUCACACAAGAAAGGA
This 1751-nucleotide unclassified non-coding RNA is filed under the name Portunus trituberculatus (swimming crab). RNAcentral's name for it is "longitudinals lacking protein, isoforms H/M/V-like, transcript variant X27". The record is from RNAcentral. Lineage: Eukaryota; Metazoa; Arthropoda; Malacostraca; Decapoda; Portunidae.